UAACUUCGGGAGAAGGUGCGCUUACAGUAAUUGUAGUCCCUUGCGGAUGAAGGUGAAGUAAGUCGAAGAUACCAGCUGGCUGCAACUGUUUAUUAAAAAACACAGCACUCUGCAAACACGAAAGUGGACGUAUAGGGUGUGAUGCCUGCCCGGUGCUGGAAGGUUAAAUUGAUGGUGUUAUCGAAAGAGAAGCUCCUGAUCGAAGCCCCAGUAAACGGCGGCCGUAACUAUAACGGUCCUAAGGUAGCGAAAUUCCUUGUCGGGU
RNAcentral lists this ribosomal RNA (265 nucleotides) under Pasteurella multocida. Its description in RNAcentral is "partial 23S ribosomal RNA". It matches the Rfam family "Bacterial large subunit ribosomal RNA", at positions 1731 to 1977 of the family's 2925-position model. The record is from RNAcentral. Lineage: Bacteria; Pseudomonadati; Pseudomonadota; Gammaproteobacteria; Pasteurellales; Pasteurellaceae.